UUUCGUUGGCGCUAAAAUGUAGCGUCAGCCAUUGGUUGAACAAUGAAGCAACUACUUACUUCUUUGUUCAACCAAUGGCUGACGCUACCUUUUAGCGACAAUGAAAUUAUCUUCCUUUAUUCCUCCGUUGUCCUCCAGACGGUCCUUUUAUGUAAUAAAUAUAAUGCUCCAUCUGUAUAUACGUAAUACGUCUAUGCUCCGAGAUGUAGGAGUUACCUGGUCUGAAGUACUGUCGAUCUUGUCGACCUUUGUGGUUUAAUUAAUCGAUUCAAUGAUUAUUGUAUAUAAAUCAUCGAAUAUCUUACUUAUAUUUUGAUCUGUCGAAAAAAUUAUUACAUUGACAUUAUAGAUCAAUAUACAUAAUUGCAAAUUUAUAAUUUAAUAUCGUAUAGUCAAAUUCCUAAUGUCAUAAUGUCUAAGAUGCAUAUUAUAUAUAUUGAUGUAUAUGAUAAUGUUAAAAAUUAAAAAUAAAUUGCCAUCAGUAUUAAAUAAUUAAAUAAUUAUAUAAAAAUGGAGGAGAGAGCAAUGCUAUGGAUGCUUUCUCUUGUUAUGUUUGUUGGAUCUUGUCUUGGAGCUGGAUCACUGCCAUUAAGUUAAAUAAAUUUAUCAGAAGAAGUAAGAUAUAGAAGUGAAGAAGAAUAUUUUAUGUAAUAUAAAAUUAUGACAAGUUACAAUUAGUUUCAAUAUUAGGAGCAGGACUCCUUGUUGGUACUGCGCUAGCGAUUAUACCUGACUAUACCUGAGGGUGUAAGAGCAUUAUUUACUGUGGAUGGUAUUACUAAUGAAAAAGGUUCAUGUGGCAACAUUACAUACUUUAAUUGGAAUUAGUUUAGUACUUGGUUUAUGCUUUUAAUCGAUCAAUGUUCAGCCAGAAAAAGUGGAGGAAGACAAGAAAUGUAUUACAGCAACUUUAGGUCUUAUAGUAGAUGCUGCGGAGUUGCGUUGGGAGCUGCUGCUACUACAUCUCAAGCUGAUGUCGAAGUGUCUUAGUUUUUCUUCGCAAUAAUGUUGCACAAAGCGCCAGAUGCAUUUGGACUUGUGUCAGUUUCUUCUUCAUGAAGGUGUAGAUAGAAAGUAAGAAAAUAAGCAGACACUUAUUAAUUUUCUCUCUUGCGGCACCGUGUCUUGUGACAUACACUUGUGACAUAUUUUGGAAUUGGAAAAGACAUUCAGGACUGCCGCGCAAGACUGCACGCGCCAAUCAGGCGCGAGAGCGGACGCGGACGCGCGAAGACACCCAAUCAGGAGCGAGGACUGCCGUGCGUGCGCGAAGACGUCCAAUCAGGCGCGGGAACUGCCGCGCACGCCGCCAAGACUCCCAAUCAGGCGCGAGGACUGCCGCGGACGCGCGAAGACGUCCAAUCAGGCGCGAGGACUGCCGAACAUGCGCGAAAUUGCAAAUUUGAAGGACAAGUUACAAUUAGUUUCAAUAUUAGGAGCAGGACUCCUUGUUGGUACUGCGCUAGCGAUUAUACCUGACUAUACCUGAGGGUGUAAGAGCAUUAUUUACUGUGGAUGGUAUUACUAAUGAAAAAGGUUCAUGUGGCAACAUUACAUACUUUAAUUGGAAUUAGUUUAGUACUUGGUUUAUGCUUUUAAUCGAUCAAUGUUCAGCCAGAAAAAGUGGAGGAAGACAAGAAAUGUAUUACAGCAACUUUAGGUCUUAUAGUAGAUGCUGCGGAGUUGCGUUGGGAGCUGCUGCUACUACAUCUCAAGCUGAUGUCGAAGUGUCUUAGUUUUUCUUCGCAAUAAUGUUGCACAAAGUAAGAAGGUUAUAUACAAUGUUUCAGAAAUGAAUUAACAAGCCCUUGUAAAAUAUGCGCCAGAUGCAUUUGGACUUGUGUCAGUUUCUUCUUCAUGAAGGUGUAGAUAGAAAGUAAGAAAAUAAGCAGACACUUAUUAAUUUUCUCUCUUGCGGCACCGUGUCUUGUGACAUACACUUGUGACAUAUUUUGGAAUUGGAAAAGACAUUCAGGACUGCCGCGCAAGACUGCACGCGCCAAUCAGGCGCGAGACGGACGCGGACGCGCGAAGACUCCCAAUCAGGAGCGAGGACUGCCGUGCGUGCGCGAAGACGUCCAAUCAGGCGCGAGAACUGCCGCGCACGCCGCCAAGACUCCCAAUCAGGCGCGAGGACUGCCGCGGACGCGCGAAGACUGCCAAUCAGGAGCGAGGACUGCCGCGCACGC
Long non-coding RNA from Camponotus floridanus (Florida carpenter ant), 2189 nucleotides. RefSeq lists it as uncharacterized. The transcript is spliced from 9 exons. The record is from RefSeq and is a predicted model, not a curated record. NCBI's taxonomy places the organism in Eukaryota, Metazoa, Arthropoda, Insecta, Hymenoptera, Formicidae.